RNAcentral lists this long non-coding RNA (5486 nucleotides) under Solanum lycopersicum (tomato). RNAcentral describes it as "long non-coding RNA (SLYC_LNC001344)". Lineage: Eukaryota; Viridiplantae; Streptophyta; Magnoliopsida; Solanales; Solanaceae. The record is from RNAcentral.
UAAGGGAAUUACUUACAUAGUAAGCAGUGACAGUGCCAGCAGAAUUUCUUGGGACAAGUUUGAGCUGCAUGUCAAUUUUACCAAACAGAUAUUCAUUCUUGGAUUGAAAACCAGAGCCUGAGAUUUUGUCAAGUGAGAGAGUAAGGAGGUCGCCAUUGUUAAGUAUUUUUGCUCUGCCAUCACCCCAUGUAAUGUCGAAUUCUUGAUCAAACUUGGCCCCAAUUGCAAUGCCAAAAGCACUAAUCAUAAAACACAUUACAAGUACUAACUUAGAAGAAGAAGAAGCCAUGUUUAACUGUUAAGAUUUCAAAGUUUGUUGGAUGAAUUUGAGUUGAAUAGUUAUAUGGGGUUUUAUAGGGAUUUAUACCACCCCAACCUCAGCAAUAAAGAAGUAGGUAGAGCAGAGCGUGUGGGGUUAGGCUUGAGGAAGCAAAGAGGAAGGUUAAGUAAAACAGAAAACAAGGGAAAAAAUAAAGAUUUUGAGCUGGAAACAGGAUUAAAGUGACGGCAUCAAAGCUAAGUGACAGACAGACCAUAUAUUAUACUCUCACUCCUAAUUAUUUGGCUACUUUUAAAUGUGUUAAUUAUUGAUAUAAUAAAUUUACUAUUAGUGAAUGAUCAAAACAAUUAAAAUUUUCAAUAAAGUUUAUUUUUUAAAAAAUAUUUAAUUAAAAAUAUAAUAAGUAAACUUUUUAAAUUUAUUUUAAAAAAUGAACAAGUAGAGGGAGGGUGGAUAUUUCCAACCGUCAAAUUAUAUUUACAUAGCUGAUAAGUUUAAGAGAGAGUAUUGCUUAUAUUUGUAAUUUUGCUUUAAAUUAUUUUUAUUUUUUAAGAUAAUUUAAAAAUAACUAAAAGGUCAAAAAUAUAAAGUGAUAGUUCAAUUUAUGUCCUAAAUUAUAUUUCUUAAUGGGGUGCAUCCUCUCGAAAAUUUAGUUAAUACGAACUAUAAGGAGUAUAACCUAGUAAUUAGAUAGUAUAGUAAUUAUAAUGAUUUGCUUAUUUGGCAUGAUUUAUUGAUAGUGUACUUAAAAAUAUUUUUUUGAUUGCACAAAUAUAAUUAUAUAAUUAAGGAAAAAUACACAAGUACUCUCCUAUCUAUGUUUGAAAUUUUUUAGAGACACACUUUGUUGGAAUUCUUACCCCUAAAAUUGUCUAAGGAACAUGUUUAUUUCAUAUGUUCAUUUGUAGAUUACAGCAGUUACGUUUUGUGAAACAAAUAAAAUAAUAACAUAAUAUUUUAUCGCGGAAAACCUCAACUUUUAAGGGUAAAAACCACGACCUACACCUCUGUAGAAUUUAACUCCACUUUAUUAAACUUCAAGUCUCAACAAAAGAUUACAAAGCUAUGUAAUCUAAAGAAUUAUAAACUCUAAUUCCUAGCUAAGAAAUUAUAAACUCUAAUUUCUAGCUACCCACAGACAUAGAACCCCCGGUUUUAUAUCUUCUAAUGUUCUUCAAGUUCUACAACUUGUCAAACAACUCCUACUCACAAAACUCAUAUUGUAAUCAUAACUCUUAAUUACAAUCUUACAGUUCUCUUUCACAAAUUGCAAUAUUCCUAAUAAAUCUCAAAACUCUCUCAGACCUCUUGAUCGUAUUUUGAUCUUUUCUCUAUGUAAGUGCACAAUUUUUCUCAAGCGAAACUAUCGUCUAUUUAUAGAUUUGGAAUUGAAUCAAAAACCUAUUUCAACUAGAAAUCCUACUUCAUGUAGGACUGCUCUUUUGUGUAGAACCUAGUUCAACUUGAAUUUGUCUUCGCCGCAUCUUCAACUCCUUGUCUGAAUCAACAUUGUCUUUGCCUUUAUAAAACCUUGUUAAGUUCAACUUGAAUUCUUUAUCAUUGUUUGUCUUUGUUGCAACCGCUUCUUCGUUCUUCUUAAACUUAUGCUAUCGUCUCAAGAAAAACUUAUACUUAAUUUUCCUUAAAUAAGUUGCAAGGAAAACUUACAAUCAAUUUCCUUAAUUAAAAAAGAAAAUCUUCCACAAAAUUUCCUUAAUUAAAUAAGAAAAACCUUCGACAAAAAUUUCCUUAUACAUUGCCAUAAAGUUUCCUUAAUUAAAUAAGAAAACAUUAUUGAACGCUAUUUCCUUUUUCAACUUGGUUGCGAACUCCUUUAUAAAAGGAAACGUAUGUACUGGUUGCUUGUCGAAAAAGCAAUACUUCCACAGCUUUAUAUCUUCUAAUUCGCGAGGUUGACUUUCUCCUUAUCCAAGUCGGAUUCAGUCUGUAAGAGACACGUCAAACAAUCCGUUUCUUUUAUCUGAUCCUGUAUUUGUCAAUUAUCAAAAUCUUUCUCAUUUUAACAAAUUCCCCCUUUUAGAUGAUGACAAACAAUGCAUUACGAACACAACAAAUAAGACGCACAUCUUCCCUUUUUUGCCAAGUUACUGCUAGAGCUUCUUAACUUUGUCAUACUUCAAAACAACGAGACUUUAACACACUUACCUUAUACUAAAGUCCUAUUAUCACCCUGAACUUAUUUUAUAAAUAAUUUUUAUCCCUUUUCAGCCUACGUGGCACUAGCUUAAAAAAAAUGUCAACACACAAUGGGCCCACAAGAUAGUGUCACGUAGAUCUAAAAGGAGAGAAAAGUACUUAUAAAAUAAGUUCAGGGAGAUACUUGUGCAUUUUCCCUAUAAUUAAUUAUGAGCUUGUGUUUGACUCCAAAUUUUCAAAUAUGCUUGGCAAAUCAUUUUUAGUUGAAGUUUCACCAUCUGUUUGACCAUAAAAUUUUGAGAGAAAUAUUUAACUAUUUCAAAAAAUAUAAUCUAUACUCAUAACAAAAAAGAAACUAUAAUUUUGUAUUAUCAUUUUAAAAUGAACAUAUUCGUUAAAAUAUAGCCCUAUAACAUAAUUGAUAAGAAAAGCAACAAAAAAGUGUGCAUGAGCAGAACCAAGAAAAAGGAGAUUCAGAGAAGUAAAAUUUCGAAAUUGCACAAAAAGAAAAUAAAAUAAAACAAACAAAACAAAAGAGAUGGUUCAUAAAAGUAAAAUGAACAAUGAACAAACAAUUGCAUAAAAAGAAAACAAACAAUCAAAAUAACAAAGGGAAAACGAAAAACCUACCAAUUUGAAGCUUCAAAAAGUUGAGGUGUAGAAGUUAGCUGAGAAGGCGAUGGUUUACUUUUUAUUAGUUUGAUUUUUGUAUAAAUCUAAAGAUAAACAUGCAAAAUUAAUACAUGUUGAACAAUCAAUAAAAGAGGAACAAAAAGAGUCAUGAUACUUGUAAAAUGGGUAUUAAGAGCAAUACCUUAAUUGCACAUUUAAACUUGUCACUGACUAAGAAUUAAUUAUAAUCCAUUAAAUACAAUUUUUUUUUUCAAUCCUGUUAUAAGUUAUUAAUGGCGUAAUUUGAACGAUAAAAUACUAGUUUUUUUUUAUAGUAUUUGAAAACUUGGGAAAAAUAUGUUUACCAAGUAGUGGCAAGUUGGUAUAACCAAGCACCAUUUUUUCAAGUUCUUCCCAAAUAUAUUAAUGGUCAAACAUAUCCUAAAUAUUUAGACUUUUCUCACGCCUUCUCAUCAACUAAGAUAUAAAUCUAAAAUGAUGUAAAAUUCACCUUUCAUAAUGUAUCUCCAUCUCAAAGUCUCUUUAUUUUACUAUGCAUUUUCUUUAUUUGAAAAAUAAAAUUGAGGGUGUUUUCUCCAGACUCUCUCUAUUUCACUACUAAUUUCUAAUUUAUAUAAAAUUGAAUACUAGUUCUCUAAAUCAACCACAAAUAUUAGUUAUAGCUUUGAAGAGAGGCAAAGGAAUAAACAAUUCAUGGUUUUGUGAAAGAACCAAAAAUAGCACAAUUAACACAUCGUGAAAUGGAGAUGAAUUUAUCAAGAACACAUAAAAACUACAAUCGAAUCAAAGGCAAAUUGGAAGUCAUAUGCGGAAAAAUCAAUUUACACAGGCACUUCACUUAAGCUGAAAGUUGGUCACAAAGGUAAGGUAGUACAGGUAUGGAGGACCACUGAAACUUGUUAUCCAUUCUUGAGAUUUGAAAGUAAAAAAUAAAGAUUAUUAAUUGCGGAAAGGGAGAAAAAUAUAUCAAUUUUUUUACAAACGUUACAAGGGAGAUACUCGACGUAUUUUGAUGAUUUACGAUACAUCGUAGAUAGGACUAAGUUAAGGGAACUUGAUGCUGUCAUACCUGAUAUAUACUUUUGUAAAAGCAAAAGAGAAGAUACAGAGAAUAAAUCUAGAUUUCUUUUUGUUUUCCAUCUUAUUUUUUAGGCUUUGGAAGAGAACUAGCCCACUAGGUCAAAUUAGAAGAAAAAAAAGUAUCUAUUUCAUUGUUUAUAUAACUUAGUACAAAACUAAGAUGUUUCUAAUCCUCAAUAAUUAUUGCAUCUUCUUCUGAUGGGUACAAAACAAUAAAAGAAUCAAUACAAUAGUUUUUAAAGUAAUACACUAUUUUUUCAUUAUUAAUGCUCAGAUAUUCUGAACACAAUCUGCUGGAAAUCCCUGUGGAAAUCGCUUUGAAUCAGUGCAGUAAUCAUAAACCAUGUAAUUCUUCUGCACCCAUUUGAGCCUCUCUUGGCUUGUGUUAUCUAACUCUUCAUUCAACCAUGAAUUGCUUGUUGAAGUUGCAGAAAUGGAACUGCAAGAAGAUGAAGAAGUGGGAAUACAAGCAUUAGCACUGAAGUUUCUGUAAGAAGCACUAAAGGGUGCUUGGCUCCAAUCAGUCUUAACAAGUCCUCCUCUUGUAGCCCAAUCAUCUGCAUUCCAAAGACUCGAAUAUAUCCUCAUGGGUUGGUUCUUUGGAUAUGAAACUCCAAUCGAUUCACUAUUCUUGUAUUCUCUAAUUGGCGUUCCGUCCACAUAAAAUCUGUUUCAACCAUAAAAAUAAGAGACCCCAAAUCAAGAUUUAUCGCAAAAGAAUGUGUUAGAUUUGAAGAAAGUUUGAAUGUUUAACUACUUACAUGAUGCGUUGUGGAUUCCAAGUGAUGGAAUACGUGUGGAAAUCAGCAGUAGGGUCAAACCAAAGAUGAAAUUGUUGUUCUCUGUUUCCUUUGCCUUGACUAAAUACAUUAGUAUGGAGAGUAUAAGGAUCACCACUUAAAUUUCCCAAGAAUUCAAAAUCUAUUUCAUCAUGUGUUGGUCCUUGUGAUGACAACUGCAAUAGAAGAGUUGAAUUUCAGGGGAUAUUCAUGUAUAUAUAGCUCAAAAAUGAUUCAGAAAUUAAGGGAAUCACUUACAUAGUAAGCAGUGACAGUGCCAGCAGAAUUUCCUGGGACAAGUUUGAGCUGCAUGUCAAUUUUACCAAACAGAUAUUCAUUCUUGGGUUGAAAACCAGAGCCAGAGAUUUUGUCAAGUGAGAGAGUAAGGAGGUCGCCAUUGUUAAGUAUUUUUGCUCUGCCAUCACCCCAUGUAAUGUCGAAUUCUUGAUCAAACUUGGCCCAAUUGCAAUGCCAAAAGCACUAAUCAUAAAACACAUUACAAGUACUAACUUAGAAGAAGAAGCCAUGUUUAACUGUUAAGAUUUCAAAGUUUGUUG